AAUUCUGGUCGGGCCUAAUGAAUAUUAAGGACCAACUCCUUAGAGGGGGGCACUUCAAAGUGGGAAAUGGUCAAGCUACCAGAUUCUGGAAGGACAAAUGGGUUAUUUUCAGAUGUACUCACUGGUUAAGAUUCUGGAGACUGCUACAAAAGGAGGAAUCGCAACAACAAAUCCUCAUUGCUUCGCAAGUUUUGGAAGUGGUGGCGAUGGAAGUCUUCGCAAACCAUGGAUGGCGCUCAAAUUCAAGAAUUGAGUAUGACUAGUGUUAGUCAUAGUAUUGUAAUUUAGUUCCUUUGAGUUAGUAUCACUAUUCAUGCAGCAGUUCUUAAUUGUAAUAAUCGACUUGUAUUGGCUGUACGCAUUAUCAUGCUAAAGCCGGAACUCUUGUUUCCAUUAU
Molecule: long non-coding RNA, 397 nt
Organism: Zea mays
Lineage: Eukaryota; Viridiplantae; Streptophyta; Magnoliopsida; Poales; Poaceae
Exons: 2
Source: RefSeq, a predicted model, not a curated record